GCGGUAUAGCCAAGUGGUAAGGCAAGGGUCUGCAAAACCCUCAUUCACCGGUUCAAAUCCGGUUACCGC
This 69-nucleotide transfer RNA is filed under the name Abiotrophia defectiva. It matches the Rfam family "tRNA". From Rfam's summary of the family: Transfer RNA (tRNA) molecules are approximately 80 nucleotides in length. Their secondary structure includes four short double-helical elements and three loops (D, anti-codon, and T loops). RNAcentral also lists the same sequence under 1 other name. Lineage: Bacteria; Bacillati; Bacillota; Bacilli; Lactobacillales; Aerococcaceae. The record is from RNAcentral.